GAGAGUAUAGCUCAAGUGGUAGAGCACAUGCUUAGCAUGCACAAGGUGCUGGGUUCAAUCCCCAGUACUUCUA
This 73-nucleotide transfer RNA is filed under the name Camelus bactrianus (Bactrian camel). It matches the Rfam family "tRNA". From Rfam's summary of the family: Transfer RNA (tRNA) molecules are approximately 80 nucleotides in length. Their secondary structure includes four short double-helical elements and three loops (D, anti-codon, and T loops). Further hydrogen bonds mediate the characteristic L-shaped molecular structure. tRNAs have two regions of fundamental functional importance: the anti-codon, which is responsible for specific mRNA codon recognition, and the 3' end, to which the tRNAs corresponding amino acid is attached (by aminoacyl-tRNA synthetases). tRNAs cope with the degeneracy of the genetic code in two manners: having more than one tRNA (with a specific anti-codon) for a particular amino acid; and 'wobble' base-pairing, i.e. permitting non-standard base-pairing at the 3rd anti-codon position. RNAcentral also lists the same sequence under 3 other names. The record is from Rfam by way of RNAcentral. Lineage: Eukaryota; Metazoa; Chordata; Mammalia; Artiodactyla; Camelidae.